Dioscorea cayenensis subsp. rotundata (Guinea yam) is the source of this 1327-nucleotide long non-coding RNA. RefSeq lists it as uncharacterized. NCBI's taxonomy places the organism in Eukaryota, Viridiplantae, Streptophyta, Magnoliopsida, Dioscoreales, Dioscoreaceae. The transcript has 2 exons. The record is from RefSeq and is a predicted model, not a curated record.
GGAUUAAAUUUUGACUAUGAUUUACUAAUUAUAUUUAUAGCUGUCACAUUGAUAUUGUCAAGUUCUGAAGUUCAAGGAAGAAGAUGUGUGUCUCUUCAGCUUCCUAAUUGGGUUUCUUCUAAUUACAAUUCUAAUCUGUUUAUUUUUAACUGGUUAAUGGGGAUUGGAAAUUCUUGAUAUUUAUUAGAUUUCAGUUCUUGAUGGUUUCUGUGAUAAUUUGUGAGGAGUUUUGUUUUUUAUUUUUUUUUUCAGAAGGAAUUUAGUAAAGAAAAAGAUUGAUGAAAGAAUUUGAAGUUCUAUUUGUGUUGUUUUUUUUUUUUGUUUAAUGAAAAUAUAUAUACAUGUAUAUAUGUAGAGAAUGAGCUGUAGGAAUUAAAUCGUCUCUGUUUGUUUUCAUGAGUCAUGCUGCGGCGAGAUACAAUGGUUAAUGCCUUCACAUCAGAAUUAAGGCAGAAACAAACAACUCAAUUGACUUGAGCUUGGCCCAUUCUAUUUGGUUUUCAUUACCAGCUAAUGUCCUCAUUAUCUCCUUAAACAUUUUGAGUCAAAGUCUUACAUGUUAGCCCAAGUUGGAUUUUUUUUAAUAUAAAUAAAUGAAUCACUAAUUUAUUAGAAAAAAAUUAUAAACAAAAUACAGAAGGAAAAAAAAAAAAUAGUGUUUGUCGUAAAUUUUUCAAUUAAAAAAAAAAAACACACACACUACGGCCGGGAGAAAAACCAAGACACAAACGGUUUAAUUUUAUGUUUCUAUUAACAUAUUUUUUAAGUUAAUUUGAUACUGUCUAUAAGCUAUUUGUAAAAUCUAAGAGCGGUUCUUAUGCUAACUAGAAUUAAAAAUAUAUCAAGAAAAAAAGCAUCUUAAGGUUGAACUUGACCGUGAUUCACUUGGCUCUCUAUAUUGAUCUUCAAGUUUAGAAGUUCACAGAAACAAGAAGAAAAUGCAAGUCUCUUCUCUGAACAUGAGAGGCCUCCUAAUGGGCUUCUUGUCAUCAUCAUUCUCAUCUCUGUUCAUCUUCAAGUGGUUCACGGAGGAGGAAGGGGGUUUGACCAUAUGCGUCACCGUCUAUGCUUCACCAUCUUCGGACAGUUUUGGUGCUUACCAGGGGAGCGGAACUCAAGCAAAGAUAAUUUGAGGUUCCAAGUCUGCUUAUAUAUCUAUGGUGUUACCCAUUAAUGAAAUUUGGAGAAUUUGAAGUUCAUAUAUCUUUAAUAAAAUAAAAAAAGCAUUAGGAGUAAAAGGUUUAAAGACUUGUAUAUUUCACUGUUCAUACUUAUGUAUGAAAUGAAAUGUUUAUUUCUUCAGAAAUGAAACCACAAGCAUUCAGAA